This 497-nucleotide ribosomal RNA is filed under the name uncultured bacterium. RNAcentral's name for it is "partial 16S ribosomal RNA". It matches the Rfam family "Bacterial small subunit ribosomal RNA", at positions 28 to 507 of the family's 1533-position model. The record is from RNAcentral.
GAUGAACGCUGGCGGCGUGCCUAAUACAUGCAAGUCGAGCGAACAGACGAGGAGCUUGCUCCUCUGACGUUAGCGGCGGACGGGUGAGUAACACGUGGAUAACCUACCUAUAAGACUGGGAUAACUUCGGGAAACCGGAGCUAAUACCGGAUAAUAUAUUGAACCGCAUGGUUCAAUAGUGAAAGACGGUUUUGCUGUCACUUAUAGAUGGAUCCGCGCCGCAUUAGCUAGUUGGUAAGGUAACGGCUUACCAAGGCAACGAUGCGUAGCCGACCUGAGAGGGUGAUCGGCCACACUGACAAUAAGACACGGUCCAGACUCCUACGGGAGGCGGCAGUGAGGAAUCUUCCGCAAUGGGCGGAAGCCUGACGGAGCAACGCCGCGUGAGUGAUGAAGGUCUUCGGAUCGUAAAACUCUGUUAUUAGGGAAAAACAAGUGUGUAAGUAACUAUGCACGUCUUGACGGUACCUAAUCAAAAAGCCACGGCUAAAUACGUG